RNAcentral lists this ribosomal RNA (468 nucleotides) under uncultured bacterium. Its description in RNAcentral is "partial 16S ribosomal RNA". It matches the Rfam family "Bacterial small subunit ribosomal RNA", at positions 28 to 507 of the family's 1533-position model. The record is from RNAcentral.
GACGAACGCUGGCGGCGUGCCUAACACAUGCAAGUCGAACGGAGAGGCCCUGCUUUUGUGGGGUGCUCGAGUGGCGAACGGGUGAGUAACACGUGAGUAACCUGCCCUUGACUUUGGGAUAACUUCAGGAAACUGGGGCUAAUACCGGAUAGGAGCUCCUGCUGCAUGGUGGGGGUUGGAAAGUUUCGGCGGUUGGGGAUGGACUCGCGGCUUAUCAGCUUGUUGGUGGGGUAGUGGCUUACCAAGGCUUUGACGGGUAGCCGGCCUGAGAGGGUGACCGGCCACAUUGGGACUGAGAUACGGCCCAGACUCCUACGGGAGGCAGCAGUGGGGAAUAUUGCACAAUGGGCGGAAGCCUGAUGCAGCAACGCCGCGUGCGGGAUGACGGCCUUCGGGUUGUAAACCGCUUUCGCCUGUGACGAAGCGUGAGUGACGGUAAUGGGUAAAGAAGCACCGGCUAACUACGUG